This 73-nucleotide transfer RNA is filed under the name Xanthobacter tagetidis. It matches the Rfam family "tRNA". Rfam says of the family: Transfer RNA (tRNA) molecules are approximately 80 nucleotides in length. RNAcentral also lists the same sequence under 3 other names. The record is from Rfam by way of RNAcentral. Lineage: Bacteria; Pseudomonadati; Pseudomonadota; Alphaproteobacteria; Hyphomicrobiales; Xanthobacteraceae.
UCCCCGAUAGCUCAGUUGGUAGAGCGUUCGACUGUUAAUCGAAUGGUCGCAGGUUCGAGUCCUGCUCGGGGAG